UCCGGAGUAGCUCAGCGGUAGAGCGAGUGACUGUUAAUCACCAGGUCGGGAGUUCAAAUCUCUCCUCCGGAG
Molecule: transfer RNA, 72 nt
Filed under: Bacteroidota bacterium
Lineage: Bacteria; Pseudomonadati; Bacteroidota
Also listed under: 1 other name
Description: Bacteroidetes bacterium tRNA-Asn
Rfam family: tRNA
About the family: Transfer RNA (tRNA) molecules are approximately 80 nucleotides in length. Their secondary structure includes four short double-helical elements and three loops (D, anti-codon, and T loops). Further hydrogen bonds mediate the characteristic L-shaped molecular structure. tRNAs have two regions of fundamental functional importance: the anti-codon, which is responsible for specific mRNA codon recognition, and the 3' end, to which the tRNAs corresponding amino acid is attached (by aminoacyl-tRNA synthetases). tRNAs cope with the degeneracy of the genetic code in two manners: having more than one tRNA (with a specific anti-codon) for a particular amino acid; and 'wobble' base-pairing, i.e. permitting non-standard base-pairing at the 3rd anti-codon position.
Source: RNAcentral